UAGCUCAGUGGUAAAGUGCAUGCUUAGUAUGCAUGAGGUCCUGGGUUCAAUUCCCAG
This 57-nucleotide transfer RNA is filed under the name Camelus bactrianus (Bactrian camel). It matches the Rfam family "tRNA", at positions 8 to 63 of the family's 71-position model. From Rfam's summary of the family: Transfer RNA (tRNA) molecules are approximately 80 nucleotides in length. RNAcentral also lists the same sequence under 2 other names. The record is from Rfam by way of RNAcentral. Lineage: Eukaryota; Metazoa; Chordata; Mammalia; Artiodactyla; Camelidae.